GGGACAAUAGCUCAUCUGGGAGAGCAAUUCGUUCGCAACGAAUAGGUAGCGGGUUCAAGUCCCGUUUGUUCCA
RNAcentral lists this transfer RNA (73 nucleotides) under Firmicutes bacterium CAG:449. It matches the Rfam family "tRNA". From Rfam's summary of the family: Transfer RNA (tRNA) molecules are approximately 80 nucleotides in length. Their secondary structure includes four short double-helical elements and three loops (D, anti-codon, and T loops). Further hydrogen bonds mediate the characteristic L-shaped molecular structure. tRNAs have two regions of fundamental functional importance: the anti-codon, which is responsible for specific mRNA codon recognition, and the 3' end, to which the tRNAs corresponding amino acid is attached (by aminoacyl-tRNA synthetases). tRNAs cope with the degeneracy of the genetic code in two manners: having more than one tRNA (with a specific anti-codon) for a particular amino acid; and 'wobble' base-pairing, i.e. permitting non-standard base-pairing at the 3rd anti-codon position. Lineage: Bacteria; Bacillati; Bacillota. The record is from Rfam by way of RNAcentral.